GCCCAGGUAGCUCAGUUGGUAGAGCAGCGGACUGAAAAUCCGCGUGUCGGUGGUUCGAUUCCGCCCCUGGCCACCA
This 76-nucleotide transfer RNA is filed under the name Alphaproteobacteria bacterium. Its description in RNAcentral is "tRNA-Phe". It matches the Rfam family "tRNA". Rfam says of the family: Transfer RNA (tRNA) molecules are approximately 80 nucleotides in length. The record is from RNAcentral. Lineage: Bacteria; Pseudomonadati; Pseudomonadota; Alphaproteobacteria.